RNAcentral lists this long non-coding RNA (249 nucleotides) under Malus domestica (apple). Its description in RNAcentral is "long non-coding RNA (MDOM_LNC001358)". Lineage: Eukaryota; Viridiplantae; Streptophyta; Magnoliopsida; Rosales; Rosaceae. The record is from RNAcentral.
UGCCCGCCACUGCACUCCCACAGCCUUCUCUGCGUAGCCACCGCGGCGGUUCUUUUUUCCCUGUAAUUAACCGAAAUAUCAAGGGCAAUCCGGUCCAGAAGCACCAUCAAUCUCUCUCUCUCUCUCUCUCUCUCUCUCUCUCUCUCUCUACAUUGACACAGUCACUCUCAAACCGAAGCAAUGCGAAGUUUGUUCGGCGGAGCGACCCAAAUUCUGAGCAAAUCGUCGUCCGCUUUCUUCUUCCUCAAU